AGUUACUUCUUCACAUUUCAUCACCUGGUUGGUGAGAAUAAUGGCAAGGUGUCGAGGCACAUUGUAGCAAGUGUUGAAGACACAAAGUAUGUUGAACCCUUUCGAAGCAUAGUUGGCUUAUGUAUGGAUUUGUUGGAAUGUAUGAUAUUUAUGUUGAUUGAUAUGAGUGAUGCUUAUGAAUGUUUUGCUAUGUAUGAAGGGAUCCAUGCUUUUGAUAUGUGAACCAUGUUGGUUGUAACACUUAGUAUCACGUACUUUGUGUCAAAGUACGCAUGUUGAAGCUCUGAGUUGGAGUAUAAGGGUAAGUCAGCGUAGACUAAGUGUUCCAGUGCUAGGAACACAAAAGACUUAAAAGAAGUUGUCUGAAUUCCCUCUUCUUUAAAUAUUUGCCGAAUGGCUUAUGUGACAAAAGAUCUCAAGCGGUUGAGAGUCAAAACAUUUGUAAUGUGUAUGCCUUCUUAUAAUAACAUUUCCUUCAGUACCUAGUCCUUCAAUUUGAAAGAGUGAGGCUUGGCCCCAUAGUCAUAAUAGUCGACGGUACGUUCACCCCUGGUUGUCUUGAUAUGAACUUUUAUCCCUCUUGUUGUAAUGGGUUUGCUGAGAGUAAAAAUCUUUCCUCUUACCAAGAGACAGAUACGUUUGGUGACUUAGCGAGUAGCUAAAUGAGGCAAGAGAUGAUGCAAUGGGUGUUGAGCAAAAAUUGUACACAAUAUGUAAACAAAUAAUUCACUUGACACAAUUUCACCCUUGUUCAUUCGUUUGAGGAGGGUUUUCUUAAUUCGAGUUCGACCCAUUCUAGGCUACGCGCCUAUUAAUUACAACCUUUCUUUUAAGA
Molecule: long non-coding RNA, 835 nt
Filed under: Malus domestica (apple)
Lineage: Eukaryota; Viridiplantae; Streptophyta; Magnoliopsida; Rosales; Rosaceae
Description: long non-coding RNA (MDOM_LNC007687)
Source: RNAcentral